This is a non-coding RNA of Phoenix dactylifera (date palm), 2596 nucleotides long. The record is from RefSeq and is a predicted model, not a curated record. NCBI's taxonomy places the organism in Eukaryota, Viridiplantae, Streptophyta, Magnoliopsida, Arecales, Arecaceae.
AAGUAACCAUCCUUAAAUUUUCUCCUCUCGGAGACGAGGCAGUGAAACAAAGCCGUUUUCCUUUCCUUUCGGAUUACACAAGAAGGCACCCAUCCAUGACCACCUCCCUCGGAGCCGCCCCGAAGCUCCCCUUCUCUCCCUCCACCCUCCACACCCUCGCCAGAAGGCUCCCUGUCUCCCCCUUUCUCCUAUCCCCUAAACCCUUCUCCUCUCGAGCCCUCGGCUUCGGUUUUCCUCUUCCUCCACGCUUGCGCUCUUCUUCUUCUUCUUCUUCCCUUCUCCCCCGUCGUCGCUUGGCCGCGCGCGCCGGCACCGGCGCCGACAACGGAGCCGCAGGGGAGCCCCGGCGCUAUGAUUUUGAUCUCUUCACCGUUGGCGCUGGCAGCGGCGGGGUCCGGGCCUCGCGCUUCGCCGCCAACUAUGGUGCUUCCGUGGCCAUUUGCGAGCUCCCCUUCGCCACGAUAUCUUCCGACCUUGCUGGCGGUGUCGGAGGAACCUGUGUGCUCCGUGGAUGUGUUCCGAAGAAAUUGCUGGUUUAUUCAUCCAAGUACUCUCAUGAAUUUGAAGAGAGUCGUGGUUUUGGAUGGACCUAUGAAGCUGAUCCGAAGCAUGACUGGAGCACCCUGAUGGCCAACAAAAAUGCCGAGUUGCAGCGCCUCACCGGGAUUUACAAAAAUAUUUUGAAGAAUGCUGGGGUGACAUUAAUUGAAGGUCGUGGAAAGAUAAUUGACCCACAUACUAUUGACGUAGAUGGGAAACUCUACUCUGCUAGGCACAUACUUAUUUCAGUUGGUGGUCGACCCUUCCUGCCAGACAUUCCUGGAAAGGAGUUUGCCGUUGACUCAGAUGCUGCUUUAGAUUUGCCUUCAAAACCUGAAAAGAUUGCAAUAGUAGGAGGAGGCUACAUUGCUUUAGAGUUUGCUGGCAUCUUCAAUGGACUAACAAGUGAUGUUCAUGUUUUUAUUCGGCAAAAAAAAGUGCUUAGAGGCUUUGAUGAGGAGAUCAGAGACUUUGUUGCAGAGCAGAUGUCUCUUAGGGGUAUUGAAUUUCACACUGAACAGUCUCCUCAGGCAAUCCUUAAAUCAGCAGAUGGUUCACUAUCGCUGAAAACUAACAAGGGAACUGUUGAUGGUUUCUCACAUGUAAUGUUUGCAACAGGUCGAAGACCAAAUACAAAGAACUUGGGACUGGAGGAGGUUGGAGUGAAAUUGGCCAAGAACGGAGCAUUAUUGGUUGAUGAAUACUCUCGGACAUCGGUUGAUUCCAUCUGGGGUGUCGGAGAUGUUACUGAUAGGAUGAACCUCACUCCAGUUGCAUUGAUGGAAGGAGGGGCUUUUGCAAAAACUGUAUUUGGCAAUGAACCUACAAAACCAGAUUACAGAGCGGUGCCAUCUGCUGUGUUUUCUCAGCCACCUAUUGGAACAGUCGGUCUUACUGAGGAGCAGGCAAUUCAAGAAUAUGGGGAUGUUGAUAUCUACACAGCUAACUUCAGGCCUCUGAAGGCCACUCUCUCUGGUCUUCCUGAUCGUGUAUUUAUGAAAAUUAUUGUUUGUGCAAGCACGAACAAAGUUUUAGGAGUGCACAUGUGUGGGGAGGAUUCCCCAGAGAUUGUCCAGGGGAUUGCUAUUGCUGUCAAGGCUGAACUUACAAAGGCAGAUUUUGAUGCCACGGUUGGUAUCCACCCUACGUCUUCAGAGGAAUUUGUCACAAUGAGAACUCCAACUCGAAAAAUUCGGAGUUCUUCCUCUAGUGAGGAAAAGACUGAUGAUGGGGUCAAGUCAGCAGUAGAUGUUUAGAACUUUUACAGUAAGGAGUCGAGGAACGAUGAAGAGGUGUAAGUUCUUAUUUUAAGAACAAUACUGGAACAAUGUGCCAUGGAUGCACAAAGAUGCAUUGUUGGUGGAGCAUGGAGAAUGAUCACUUGCUGGUCAGGUUGAAAUAUCUGGACCUCUUAGUGCAACUGGAUUGGAUUGGAGUGGUGUUGCAUGGACAUGGAGAUGAGAAUGCUUUAGACAUGCGUCCAAGUGUCUGUUUCAGCAAGAGGGAAAAAGCAAGAUAGAAAGAGCUUUGGAUUCAAGAAUAUUGAGAUAUUCACUAUUGAGGGAAUUUAAGGAAAUCUGUCAUUUGUGCUCUCUCUUUCUGUGAUCAAGUUCCGAGCUUUCUUCUCUUCAUAUCUCGGUGGAAAUAAAAAUUGAUCAUAUUUUAUGUAAAUAUAGUGCUCUCUCUCUCUCUCUCUCUCUCUCUCUCUCUCUCUUCCCUACAUAAUAUUUAUGCUGGUCAGGUUUCUGUUUCUUUAGAUUAUGCUUGAAGUCGUCAAAGAAUUUAUGCAGCUCGUACCCUCAUCAAUGUUUGGCUGGUCUAUUUGCAUCCCAUUGGUUAUAUUAUACCUGAUGGCUGUGCCUGUGACUUGUAAGCCCUGCAGGAUAUUAUCUACAAGCUAGAUGAUUGUAUACUUUAUGUAUUUAUUUUGCCUAUUUAAUUCCCCUGAGGAGCACUGUAUAUUGUGCUGCUAUGUGGACUGAUCAAAUUGCGAACAUAUGAAAAUUGAUUAUGUUCACUUUUUAUGGUUUGCUAUACGAAACUUUACGUUUCUUGA